GACGAACGCUGGCGGCGUGCUUAACACAUGCAAGUCGAACGGAAAGGCCCUGCUUUUGUGGGGUGCUCGAGUGGCGAACGGGUGAGUAACACGUGAGUAUCCUGCCCUUGACUUUGGGAUAACUUCAGGAAACUGGGGCUAAUACCGGAUAGGAGCUCCUGCUGCAUGGUGGGGGUUAGAAAGUUUCGGCGGUUGGGGCUGGACUCGCGGCUUAUCAGCUUGUUGGUGGGGUAGUGGCUUACCAAGGCUUUGACGGGUAGCCGGCCUGAGAGGGUGACCGGCCACAUUGGGACUGAGAUACGGCCCAGACUCCUACGGGAGGCAGCAGGGGGGAAUAUUGCACAAUGGGCGGAAGCCUGAUGCAGCAACGCCGCGUGCGGGAUGACGGCCUUCGGGUUGUAAACCGCUUUCGCCUGUGACGAAGCGUGAGUGACGGUAAUGGGUAAAGAAGCACCGGCUAACUACGUG
This 468-nucleotide ribosomal RNA is filed under the name uncultured bacterium. RNAcentral describes it as "partial 16S ribosomal RNA". It matches the Rfam family "Bacterial small subunit ribosomal RNA", at positions 28 to 507 of the family's 1533-position model. The record is from RNAcentral.